UUAAAAUGUUAAUUUUUUAAACUAAAGUAGUAUUAGUUAUGUUCUUUAAAUUUAAAGAUUUUGGCGGUAUUUUAGUCUAUUCAGAGGAACCUGUUCUAUAAUUGAUAGUCCACGAUUAACUUUACUUAAAUUUAAAAGUUUGUAUAUCGUUGUUUAUAGAAAAUUUUUUAAGAAAAAUAAUUUUUAAUAAAUUUAAUUAAAUUGUAAAUCAAAUCAAGGUGCAGUUUAUAUUUAAGAAGAAAUGGGUUACAAUAAAAUUUAUUUAUACGGAUUUAUAAAUGAAAAUUAUAAUGAAGGAGGAUUUGAUAGUAAUUUUAUUUAAUUUAAUAAAAUGAUUUUAGCUCUAAAAUAUGU
RNAcentral lists this ribosomal RNA (354 nucleotides) under Dineutus macrochirus. Its description in RNAcentral is "partial 12S ribosomal RNA". The record is from RNAcentral. Lineage: Eukaryota; Metazoa; Arthropoda; Insecta; Coleoptera; Gyrinidae.